This 1346-nucleotide ribosomal RNA is filed under the name Parastratiosphecomyia szechuanensis. RNAcentral's name for it is "16S ribosomal RNA". The stretch from base 1076 to 1236 matches the Rfam family "Archaeal large subunit ribosomal RNA", at positions 2544 to 2703 of the family's 2987-position model. Lineage: Eukaryota; Metazoa; Arthropoda; Insecta; Diptera; Stratiomyidae. The record is from RNAcentral.
UUAUUAAUAAUUUAUUAAUUUUUUUUUAUGUUUGUUUUAAUUAAGUAAAAUAAUUUUAAUUUAAGAGGUUUUAGUAUAGUAUAUAGAAAAAAUAUUUUUAAUAAUAGUUGACUAGUAUUGUGAAAUAAAAUUGAAAUAAUAUUUGAAAAUUUUAUAUAAAAAAAGAAAAUUUAAUCUAUUGUACCUUGUGUAUCAGGGUUUAUUAAAUAUAAUCUAUAAAUUUUUAGUAUUCUCGAAUUUAAAAGAGUUAGUAAGUAAAGAAAUUUAAUGUAAAAAAAUUAUUUUUAAUUAUUUACUGGAAAUGAAAAGUUAUUCGUUUUUGAAGUUAUCUAGUUUUUAAAGAAAUAAAUUUAAUUUAUUAAUGAUGAGUAGUUUUUAAUUAUAUAAAUGUGCUAUAAAUUUUUUUGAGUAAUUUACGGGAUAAGCUGUAAGUUAAAUAUUUAAAAUUUAUUAAUUAGUAAAAUAAAUAUAUGCUUAGAAUUAGCAAUUAUUUAUGAGGAUGUUAUAAUUUAUUUUUUAUAAAAAUUAUUUAUUAUGGGUUUGAAGAUUUUAUUUAAAUAUUAAUUUUAAUUUUUAAAAUUAAGAAAUUAUGAUAGAAUUAGUAUAAAUUAUUGUAAAUUUAAAAUUUGAAUAAGAUUAGAUUAAGGAACUCGGCAAAUUUAUGAUUAUUCGCCAGUUUAACAAAAACCUGUCUUUUUGAAUUUAAUUUAAAGUCUAACCUGCCCACUGAAUAAUAUUUGAAUGGCCGCAGUAUAUUAACUGUGCAAAGGUAGCAUAAUCACUAGUCUUUUAAUUGAGGGCUUGUAUGAAUGGUUGGACGAGAUAAUAGCUGUCUCAGUUUAAUAAUUAUAACUUUAUGUUUUAGUAAAAAAGCUAAAAUAAUAUUGAAAGACGAGAAGACCCUAUAGAUCUUUAUAAUUAUAUUUAUUAGGUUUAUAAAGAAUAUUUAAAAUUUAAUAAAUGAAUUUAUUUUAUUGGGGUGAUAAUAAGAUUUAAUAAACUCUUAUAUUUUAUAAACAUAGAUUAAUGAUUAGAUGACCCAUUUUUAAUGAUUAAUAAAUUAAGUUACCUUAGGGAUAACAGCGUAAUUUUUUUGAAGAGUUCAUAUCGAUAAAAAAGAUUGCGACCUCGAUGUUGGAUUAAGAGAUAUUACUAGGUGUAGAGGUUUAGUAAAUUAAGUCUGUUCGACUUUUAAAUUCUUACAUGAUCUGAGUUCAAACCGGUGUAAGCCAGGUUGGUUUCUAUCUUCAGUUAAUAUAAAUAUUUUAGUACGAAAGGACCAAAUAUUUAAAAUAUUUUUUUAUAUUUGAAUAUUAAUAAUAUACUAUUUUGGCAGAUUAGUGCAA